ACGACCUUACUUGAACAGGAUCUGUUCUAUAGGCUCGUACCAUUGUAUCCUUGAUUUCUAAAGAGAUAGGAAACCAAGUCUGGUGGAUGAAAUUUGGCCAUGAGACUAGAGCGUGACUAACGGCUUUGGUGUGGUCCUUUGGGCUUACUUGCGCGGUAGAUGAUCGUUCUCAGGCCUCUCGAGGGUCUGGGGUGGUCUCUUGGCUUUUUGACAGACU
RNAcentral lists this small nucleolar RNA (217 nucleotides) under Solanum tuberosum (potato). RNAcentral describes it as "snoRNA Plant_U3". It matches the Rfam family "Plant small nucleolar RNA U3". Rfam says of the family: Small nucleolar RNAs (snoRNAs) are involved in the processing and modification of rRNA in the nucleolus. There are two main classes of snoRNAs: the box C/D class, and the box H/ACA class. The record is from Rfam by way of RNAcentral. Lineage: Eukaryota; Viridiplantae; Streptophyta; Magnoliopsida; Solanales; Solanaceae.